This 149-nucleotide unclassified non-coding RNA is filed under the name soil metagenome. RNAcentral describes it as "partial internal transcribed spacer 1". The record is from RNAcentral.
CCGAGUUUACAACUCCCAAACCCCUGUGAACAUACCACUUGUUGCCUCGGCGGAUCAGCCCGCUCCCGGUAAAAACGGGACGGCCCGCCCAGAGGACCCCUAAACUCUGUUUCUAUAUGUAACUUCUGAGUAAAACCAUAAAUAAAUCA